This is a non-coding RNA of Sturnus vulgaris (Common starling), 1061 nucleotides long. The record is from RefSeq and is a predicted model, not a curated record. Lineage: Eukaryota; Metazoa; Chordata; Aves; Passeriformes; Sturnidae.
CCGCGGGAGCCGCUCGGGUUUGCAGCGCUGCUCUGGGGCCGGGCACGAUUGAGUCACUCUCACAAGGUCACCCAGGGAAUGGCUGCAGCUGCCAGGAACAGCACCCCGGGUGCCUUGUCCCUCUGGAGCCCACCCUCAGCACUCCAGCCUCCUUUCCGUGGGUUAUGAAACUUUCUGCAGCAGGAUUUGAAGCAGCCAGAUUCCAGAUUAGAUCAAAGACCCUAGGAUUCACUUGUGAUUUCUGUCUGUAUUUUGCAGCCAGCUGUAAGUGAAGCCUCAGUUCCUGUGGUAAUGCUCUUGGAGACAGAGCCUGAUGGAAUCUGCAGGGUGGGCAUGGAUGGAUGGAUGGACCCUGCAGCCACAGAGGGCUCCCAGACCCUGCACCCAUCCAGCAGAGCACCCUGGGCCCCCAAAUGCCAGCACGGAGCAGAUGUGUCCAGCAAGGAGGAUUAACUGCCUGGGACAGCCAAGGACAGCCUGAGCUGUGGGCCUGAAAUGCAGAAACUCGUCUGCUCAUAAUCUGUGGGGGUGAGUUUUAGAAUAAAGCCAAGAGUGCUCUGAUCACAGCCCAAAAUACUGAUAUAAAUGGUGGAAGGAAUGGAUGUCUGUAGUACAAUGCAGAGGUAUAUGUUAUCUGUAGUAUAAUAUAUAUAAUGUACAUGCAGACAUUUUUCUUCCUGGCACACCAGGAGUUUUAAACCAAAUGAGUACAAAAGCAAUUUACUUAAGAAAAUGUUAGGCAUGUUGCACUGGAAAUGGAACUGGUUAUAUUACUUUACCCCAAAAUAAUGUACUUGAUGUCUUUGGGUGCCAAGUGAAGCCUUUCUGAACAAUGCUAUGUUUUUGUGGCCAUCUCGGCCAGGUUUGUUCUUUCUACUUGAUGAACUGUGCACAGAGAAGUGGAUUUCCAGGGAAUGGAUUUUUUUGCCCUUUGGAAAUGUGUGAAAGGACAGGAGCAUAUGGACUUGGCAUGCCCCAGGCACGGCUGUGGGAGCCUGGGAACAUUUCGUGCCUGCAGCAAGUGUAGGAAGAAGGGAGGAGGAGAGGAGCAGGAUGAGCUG